GAGGGAGGAGGAGGAAGCGCGCCUCGGCCGCCGCAGUUGGAGUCGGAGCAGGGGAGAACAGCUUCAAAAAAUUAUUAAAAAUCGAGGAAAAAUCCUAGAAACUCUCUGUGGGCCUGAAAAUCCCAGAGAGACCCCAGGCUCCCUGGAAUAGAGGUUUCGGGUGUCAGUAAGGACUCUCUGGGGUCAGAUGUGGCAGGUGAAUCCUGGCUGAAGGAGAGAGGAAGCACCGAGGUCCACAUCCAUGGUGCUGAUGACAUGAAGUCCCCUGAGGCAUACACAAUUAUAUCAAGCAAGCAGUGACAUUGGAGUCAGCUGUGGGAAUACACAGCGGGGUCGUCUUCACAUCCCCGCGGAUGGUGACAGAGCCAGCGAAGAUUGUAGAAGUGAGAACUGUGCUGUUGCAUCCUCAGGCAAAUGAUUUCUUCUGUAAAUGUCUUCUCGGCAUGUCUAUGAAGAGACAUCCUCAGAGCCAAACUGCCUUCAUCGUCAUCACAUCUGUUUGCAAGAGACAGUCAUAGCUGACGAUGUUGACUGUGACCUACUUUUAUAUAAGGGGCACAGAGCAUCAUGGGACUUUCAU
Molecule: long non-coding RNA, 580 nt
Organism: Mus pahari (shrew mouse)
Lineage: Eukaryota; Metazoa; Chordata; Mammalia; Rodentia; Muridae
Exons: 4
Source: RefSeq, a predicted model, not a curated record